Molecule: unclassified non-coding RNA, 325 nt
Filed under: uncultured Paraglomerales
Lineage: Eukaryota; Fungi; Glomeromycota; Glomeromycetes; Paraglomerales
Description: sequence contains ITS2
Source: RNAcentral
AACGCAAAUUGCGCCUUCUUUCGGAAGGCAUGUCUGUUUGAGGGCACCAUUUAACAAAUAAUGUGCGCGUCGUUUUUACGAGCGACGUGCGCACGUUGAUGAGCUUUUCCGAAAAAACCAGGUUUUUUUGGUGGCGCAUAAUGAACAGCGUGGGCUUUUUCUUCGAUUCUCGUGUAGUAAAUCUUCAACGCUUGGAUUGAGAAAAAGUGCGUGCCGCGCAAUGGGUGUGGCGAAUUUUACCCCUGCCCCAAUGCCACUCUUUCCCUGCGAAAGAACAUCUUUUAUUUAGGGCCUCAAAUCAGACAAGAGUACCCGCUGAACUUAA